GCCACUGUGUUGUAGUCGGUUAGCAUGACGACCUCAUAUUUGUGAAGUUAGUCGUAGACCCGAGUUCGAUUCUCGGCGGAGGCA
This is a non-coding RNA of Ceraceosorus guamensis, 84 nucleotides long. NCBI's taxonomy places the organism in Eukaryota, Fungi, Basidiomycota, Exobasidiomycetes, Ceraceosorales, Ceraceosoraceae. The record is from the annotation of a RefSeq genome assembly.